UACGUAGGGGGCAAGCGUUGUCCGGAUUUAUUGGGCGUAAAGCGCGCGCAGGCGGUUUAUUAAGUCUGAUGUGAAAGCCCACGGCUCAACCGUGGAGGGCCAUUGGAAACUGGUAGGCUUGAGUGCAGGAGAGGAGACUGGAAUUUACGGUGUAGCAGUGAAAUGCGUAGAUAUCGUAAGGAAGACCAGUGGCGAAGGCGGCUCACUGGCCCAUUACUGACGCUGAGGCACGAAAGCGUGGGGAGCAAACAGG
RNAcentral lists this ribosomal RNA (253 nucleotides) under uncultured bacterium. RNAcentral's name for it is "partial 16S ribosomal RNA". It matches the Rfam family "Bacterial small subunit ribosomal RNA", at positions 524 to 776 of the family's 1533-position model. The record is from RNAcentral.